RNAcentral lists this transfer RNA (73 nucleotides) under Camelus bactrianus (Bactrian camel). It matches the Rfam family "tRNA". Rfam says of the family: Transfer RNA (tRNA) molecules are approximately 80 nucleotides in length. Their secondary structure includes four short double-helical elements and three loops (D, anti-codon, and T loops). The record is from Rfam by way of RNAcentral. Lineage: Eukaryota; Metazoa; Chordata; Mammalia; Artiodactyla; Camelidae. RNAcentral also lists the same sequence under 2 other names.
GAGGGUAUAGCUUAAGUGGUAGAGUAUGUGUUUAGCAUAUACGAGGUCCUGGGUUCGAUACUCAGUACCUCCU